GAUGGAGACUUGAUCUUGCCAGAAAGCAUGCAGUUUGUAUAAAAGUGAAAUUUAGAGAAAUGCACACCUAAAACAGAUUGUAGGGGGCCUACAAGGGUUGGCUGAAACAGGAUUUCCCAGGAUCCAUCUGUGCUUAUUCUUUUCUAGCUUAGGGAGUAUUUGGAACAGGACCUGUAGCCUGAUAGACAUUCAACAAACAGCAGCUGCCAUUACUGUCAUGGAUCACUUGGUGGCCUCAAUUCUACUUUGGAGGUAUAGUGGCAGAAUAUACUAAACAUCAUCUUAGGAUUCCAGAAACCGCAUGUAUCCCAACUUCCUCUUCCUAAUUGGUUCGAUAUAGACAAGUUACUGAACUUCUCUGAGACCCAAUUUUCUAAUCUAGAAAAUGGAGGAAAUACCUGUCCUGUAUGUCUACAUAUUACCCAGGAUUUUAGCAAGACUAUCUGAUUUGAAGGACAUGUUACCAUCCACAAGCAGGACAUCUCUGCAUUUCUAAGCUACUGUCCUGGUAGUCUACUUGGAUCUGUGUAAGCUGUCUCCUCAAGGGUCACCUCUUUUGCUGUUCUUUAUUUUCUAAGGCAGUGGAGUGUCUAGAACUCUUGAACAAUGAGAAGUACCAUAUAACAGUGAAGGCCAAAGUUUGAAAUGGCAUGAAAUAAUAAUAUCUUCUAGGC
This 674-nucleotide long non-coding RNA is filed under the name Callithrix jacchus (white-tufted-ear marmoset). RNAcentral describes it as "lncRNA (ENSCJAG00000083110.1)". Lineage: Eukaryota; Metazoa; Chordata; Mammalia; Primates; Cebidae. The record is from RNAcentral.